AAGUCGUAACAAGGUUUCCGUAGGUGAACCUGCGGAAGGAUCAUUAUUGAGACUUGAACAGGUUGUAGCUGGCUCUGAAAGGAGUACGUGCACGCCUGGCUCAUCCACUCUUUAACCUUUGUGCACUCUUUGCAAGAGCUUGGUAAACAUUGGUCUUUCAUGGCUAGUGAUCUCCUCUCUCUUGUGUUUUUAUCACAAACAUGUCAUGUUGUAGAAUGGUCUUUAUGCAGAUAAUGCAUGUUGAAUAAACAACUUUCAGCAACGGAUCUCUUGGCUCUC
RNAcentral lists this unclassified non-coding RNA (279 nucleotides) under air metagenome. Its description in RNAcentral is "partial contains small subunit ribosomal RNA, internal transcribed spacer 1, and 5.8S ribosomal RNA". The stretch from base 1 to 46 matches the Rfam family "Eukaryotic small subunit ribosomal RNA", at positions 1786 to 1831 of the family's 1831-position model. The record is from RNAcentral.